GUUGUGCAAUCCUAAACCCACUGAUCCAAUCUGUCCAGCAGCCCUUUCCACCCCUUCUCCCUCUGCCCUGCUGCCACCUGUGUCUUUGUUGGAGUCACCAAGGCUUCAUUUUGGGCAGUUGCUCUUUCAGGGCACGUUCAGAGUUGGGUAGACAAUGUGCAGGGUGAAGUUCAUGAGGAGCCACCCAGGCACUGCCACCCCCAGCCUGGCUCCAGCUGGAUGGACCUGCCUGAAAAUAACUGCAGGCUUGCCCAGGAGGGUUUUGUUGCUAUCCAGUGCUGCUGAUCAGGGCUGCCUGCUCUUUCACUUGGAUGCUCCUGAAUCCCAAUGAAGCCUUGCCAUCCAUCGCCUCUGCCUUGGUCCCUCUUACCUGGUCUCCUCCACCCUUGACCACCUCUCCCUCUCCCUCUCCAUGCCCAGCUCCUACCACAGAGCAAGAGCUUCCCCUCCUUCCACUCCUCAGAGUUACUGUGGGAAGCAUCAGUGGUGCAAGAAGCCAAAGCAAGGCCAAAGGACAGCUCAGGAGUCAGGAAAGGAGUUUUUCCUGCCCACCACAACCCAUGGAACCACAACUGCCCUCUUAGCACGUUGUCAGGGCAGAGAAGUGACCAUGUCUGAACUCUGGAUGGAAAUAUAAGCAGAAGAAAGGAUGCUGCUCCACUGGAAGGAGAGCUCUCAUCUUGAAAACCAGAAUAAUUAUGGAGUGAUAUGGAGGAAGAAUGUGGAACACGGAGCAAUGAUCAGUAAAACUUAAAAGCUUUGGAGGUGGAGUUCCCAGUGAGUUUCCUGAAGUUUGGAUACAUACCCAAACUUCCUUGAACCUUUUGGGGCCUAAUUAAAUUCAAGGGGGCUUAUAAAAAAAACAUGCAUGGAAGAGAAAACUUUUUUCUGUGAAAAAAAAACCUGCUUAAUAAAACAGAUUGUGUGCAAAAUAGAAAUCUGGGCCUUGUGAAGGAAGAGUAAAACGACACUAAUGAGCAGAGUCUGAGUGUUAAUGAAUGGGAUUAGCAUUCCAUUCCCUGCAACUCUUAUAAAUAGACCCACCAAUUUUAGGUUCCCUGUUCUUCAAAGAACCUGAUGUGAUUUCUGGGGGUGUUUUCAUGUAGUUAAUUCCAUUUUGUACAAGGAGAAACUGAGGCAGAAGACAAUCACUUGACCCACCCCUCAGGCCUGUGGCUGGGUUGGAGAUGAGAACAUUGAGGUUUUACUUUUAAAGGGUUUGAUUUGACUUUGGGCAGUCAGAACCCAGCAGGCACCAUCCUGAGCUCUGUGUGUGGAGCAGCUCCUCCUUCCUCCUGGAGACAGCGGUGAGCAGCUGGCAGCUCCUGCAGGUUCUUCCCUGCUGGAUCCUGAGUGUUUUAUUUUUCUCUCUGGACCUUGUGUGAGCUUUGGCACUUGGAAAAUACCCCAGGAUGGGGAUGGUCCUCAUUCCCAGCUGGGUUUUGUCCACAUGCAGUCCCUUCUGUGCAGCUGUUGGAUGUGACAGCAAAUGUUCCCACCAGCCUUGGCUGGGAACCAGAGCUCUGUUUCCCAAUCUCUGUUUCAAAGGGCAGUGAACCAUCUCCUCUUCCAUCCCCACAUGAUCCUCAGCCUGUCCACUGAAAGCCAGGAGUGGUUUCAUUCUUGUUUCCUUGCCCUUUUGAGCUCUUCUGGUGUCGCCCUGUUCUUCUAAAGUUCUUCUACGCCUUCUGAUGUUUACAUUUUUGUAAUGGAGUUUCUUCAUGCACUUCUCAUGUAAAUAAUCAUUGUUUUGCAUUCCUUUCUGGAGGAGGAGAGAAUUGAUGGACUGUUGGUUUGACCAGUGUGGUUGGAGAGGUGGCAACUUCAUCCUCCAAUCCACGGUCACUUUUGGAAUUCUAUAAAUAUCGAGGAACAGAAAUAAACCUGCCUUUUUUGCCUUGGA
This is a long non-coding RNA of Haemorhous mexicanus (house finch), 1903 nucleotides long. RefSeq lists it as uncharacterized. The record is from RefSeq and is a predicted model, not a curated record. NCBI's taxonomy places the organism in Eukaryota, Metazoa, Chordata, Aves, Passeriformes, Fringillidae. The transcript is spliced from 2 exons.